RNAcentral lists this ribosomal RNA (413 nucleotides) under uncultured bacterium. RNAcentral describes it as "bacterial SSU rRNA". It matches the Rfam family "Bacterial small subunit ribosomal RNA", at positions 506 to 921 of the family's 1533-position model. The record is from RNAcentral.
AGCCAGCAGCCGCGGUAAUACGAAGGUCCCAAGCGUUAUCCGGAUUUAUUGGGUUUAAAGGGUGCGUAGGCGGGCUAUUAAGUCAGUGGUGAAAGCCCCAAGCUUAACUUGGGAACUGCCAUUGAUACUGAUGGUCUUGAGUACAUUUGAGGUGGGCGGAAUGUGUCAUGUAGCGGUGAAAUGCUUAGAUAUGACACAGAACACCGAUUGCGAAGGCAGCUCACUAAACUGUAACUGACGCUGAGGCACGAAAGCGUGGGGAGCAAACAGGAUUAGAUACCCUGGUAGUCCACGCCCUAAACGAUGAUCACUCGAUGUGUGCGAUAUACUGUACGCGUCUGAGCGAAAGCAUUAAGUGAUCCACCUGGGGAGUACGACCGCAAGGUUGAAACUUAAAGGAAUUGGCGGGGGAC